This 460-nucleotide ribosomal RNA is filed under the name uncultured bacterium. RNAcentral's name for it is "partial 16S ribosomal RNA". It matches the Rfam family "Bacterial small subunit ribosomal RNA", at positions 338 to 795 of the family's 1533-position model. The record is from RNAcentral.
CCUACGGGAGGCAGCAGUGAGGAAUAUUGGUCAAUGGGCGAGAGCCUGCACCAGCCAAGUCGCGUGAAGGAUGAAGGCUCUAUGGUUUGUAAACUUCUUUUAUAUGGGAAUAAAGUGAGGAACGUGUUCCUUUUUGUAUGUACCAUAUGAAUAAGCAUCGGCUAACUCCGUGCCAGCAGCCGCGGUAAUACGGAGGAGGCGAGCGUUAUCCGGAUGUAGUGGGUUUAACGGGUGCGUAGGUGGUUAAUUAAGUCAGCGGUGAAAGUUUGUGGCUCAACCAUAAAAUUGCCGUUGAAACUGGUUGACUUGAGUAUAUUUGAGGUAGGCGGAAUGCGUGGUGUAGCGGUGAAAUGCAUAGAUAUCACGCAGAACUCCGAUUGCGAAGGCAGCUUACUAAACUAUAACUGACACUGAAGCACGAAAGCGUGGGGAGCAAACAGGAUUAGAUACCCGGGUAGUC